GAUGAACGCUGGCGGCGUGCCUAACACAUGCAAGUCGAGCGAUUCUCUUCGGAGAAGAGCGGCGGACGGGUGAGUAACGCGUGGGUAACCUGCCCUGUACACACGGAUAACAUACCGAAAGGUAUGCGAAUACGAGAUAAUAUGCUUUUAUCGCAUGGUAGAAGUAUCAAAGCUUUGCGGUACAGGGUGGACCCGCGUCUGAUUAGCUAGUUGGUAAGGUAACGGCUUACCAAGGCGACGAUCAGUAGCCGACCUGAGAGGGUGAUCGGCCACAUUGGAACUGGGACACGGUCCAAACUCCUACGGGAGGCAGCAGUGGGGAAUAUUGCACAAUGGGCGAAAGCCUGAUGCAGCAACGCCGCGUGAGCGAUGAAGGCCUUCGGGUCGUAAAGCCCUGUCCUCAAGGAAGAUAAUGACGGUACUUGAGGAGGAAGCCCCGGCUAACUACGUGCCAGCAGCCGCAGUAA
This 467-nucleotide ribosomal RNA is filed under the name uncultured bacterium. RNAcentral's name for it is "partial 16S ribosomal RNA". It matches the Rfam family "Bacterial small subunit ribosomal RNA", at positions 28 to 523 of the family's 1533-position model. The record is from RNAcentral.